CCCACAGCAUCCGCUGCCCGUGUCCCUGGGAAGGUCCCCACAUCUGAGCGAGGCCCGAGGCCCUGAGGGGUGCUCAACCUCUCCUUGCACACCUCUACUGAUGGAGAGCUCACCACUUCCCAAGACAGCCCUUUGUGGAAGCUAGACUUUGGAAUUAGAGCCCUGGACUGGACACUCGGAUCAGCGUAGGACCCUGGAGAAGCCACUUCGCUCCUCUCCUACGCAUAGGUCUUCCCACACUCAGGUUAAUCGUGGUGGUUGUGGUGAGAAAGAGAGCACUUGUCAGCUGUAUUAAGGCUCAAAUCCAAUCUGAGAACUGGCAUCUGGAAAAAUACAGAGCAAGGGGGCGCUCACUGAGAACCCAGGGACUCUCAGGAAUGAACUGGCCACAAGUCGCAGGCAACGUGCAUCAAAGAAAGACGUGCUCCCAUUGUCCCUCCCCCUCCUUUCUGUCAACAAACAUUCUAGUGCCUUCCAUGGAGGAUACAGAGAGGCCGUCCCCGAUCUCCCGACAAACACCCAAUGCACCCGCCCCUCUGCUCUGUUCCUGCUCAUGUUUCUCCCUAUAGUGCCUGUCACUGUCAGAUGUUUCUCAUUUCUCUCCUUGUUUAUUCGCUGUCCUCUUCUGCAAGACAUGUGCACUCUUCAGGCAGGGGCCCUGUCUGUCUUGUUCUGCACCUGGUUCCCAGUGCCAGCCCGGGGCCUGGGAUACGAGAUACUGAAUAAACGUCUGUUGAAUGGGUUUCUAAAUAAAUGGUGAACAAAGAACUUCCGUCUGGCGGGGAACAGCAGACAAGUAUACGGAUGGUGUCAGUUCAGUGCGGUCAGUGCCAUGACAACAGGCGAACAAGGACUUGAAGGGGUAACACAAGAAGAGGCAGAAACUCUGCCUCAGCCCUGUCCAGGAAGGCUCCCCUCGAGAAAGACCUGAGUUGGGCUUUGAGGGACGAGCAGGAGUUAGGCAGGUGGAUGAGGAAGCUGUGUGUGCAAAGAGCCAGGGCGUCCAGCAAUGGGAUGCAUUUGCAGUAGGACGUGUUUGUUGCG
This 1044-nucleotide long non-coding RNA is filed under the name Equus caballus (horse). RNAcentral's name for it is "lncRNA (ENSECAG00000055290.1)". Lineage: Eukaryota; Metazoa; Chordata; Mammalia; Perissodactyla; Equidae. The record is from RNAcentral.